AUUGAACGCUGGCGGCAUGCUUUACACAUGCAAGUCGAACGGUAACAGGUUAAGCUGACGAGUGGCGAACGGGUGAGUAAUGCAUCGGAACGUGCCCGGUCGUGGGGGAUAACGCAGCGAAAGCUGCGCUAAUACCGCAUACGAUCUGAGGAUGAAAGCGGGGGACCGUAAGGCCUCGCGCGAUCGGAGCGGCCGAUGUCAGAUUAGGUAGUUGGUGGGGUAAAGGCUCACCAAGCCGACGAUCUGUAGCUGGUCUGAGAGGACGACCAGCCACACUGGGACUGAGACACGGCCCAGACUCCUACGGGAGGCAGCAGUGGGGAAUUUUGGACAAUGGGGGCAACCCUGAUCCAGCAAUGCCGCGUGAGUGAAGAAGGCCUUCGGGUUGUAAAGCUCUUUUGUCAGGGAAGAAACAGCAGCUCUAACACAGUUUGCGAAUGACGGUACCUGAAGAAUAAGCACCGGCUAACUACGUGCCAGCCGCCGCGGUAA
Molecule: ribosomal RNA, 492 nt
Filed under: uncultured bacterium
Lineage: Bacteria
Description: partial 16S ribosomal RNA
Rfam family: Bacterial small subunit ribosomal RNA
Source: RNAcentral